CCUACGGGUGGCAGCAGUAGGGAAUUUUCGUCAAUGGGCGCAAGCCUGAACGAGCAAUGCCGCGUGAACGAGGAAGGUCUUCGGAUCGUAAAGUUCUGUUGAAGGGGAAAAAGAGCGGAGAGAGGAAAUGGUCUCCGAUUGAUAUUACCCUUCGAGGAAGUCACGGCUAACUACGUGCCAGCAGCCGCGGUAAUACGUAGGUGGCGAGCGUUAUCCGGAAUGAUUGGGCGUAAAGGGUGCGUAGGCGGCCUGCUAAGUCUGGAGUGAAAGGUACCGGCUCAACCGGUAUAGGCUCUGGAAACUGGCGGGCUAGAGAGCAGGAGAGGGCGGUGGAACUCCAUGUGUAGCGGUAAAAUGCGUAGAUAUAUGGAAGAACACCAGUGGCGAAGGCGGCUGUCUGGUCUGCAACUGACGCUGAGGCUCGAAAGCAUGGGUAGCGAACAGGAUUAGAUACCCCAGUAGUC
RNAcentral lists this ribosomal RNA (464 nucleotides) under uncultured bacterium. RNAcentral's name for it is "partial 16S ribosomal RNA". It matches the Rfam family "Bacterial small subunit ribosomal RNA", at positions 338 to 795 of the family's 1533-position model. The record is from RNAcentral.